Molecule: unclassified non-coding RNA, 241 nt
Filed under: Hevea brasiliensis (rubber tree)
Lineage: Eukaryota; Viridiplantae; Streptophyta; Magnoliopsida; Malpighiales; Euphorbiaceae
Source: RNAcentral
UCUGUGCAAGGAAGAAUUCCUACUCGACCCAGUCUCCCUCUGGAUCCCAGAUACGCCUGGACUUUGGACACCAUUGAGUGAUUUUUGAUGCCAAGAAGAACCACCAAUGACCUUGUUUGCAGUCAUUGAAACAGCAGUAGAGCUCCUAGCAUCCUCCUUUACUGAAUGCCCCCCAGCUUUGGCAUGGUCACUGGAGCAAGAUUGACUAUUGUUGUGUGACUGACUAGAACUGCUGCUUUUC